RNAcentral lists this ribosomal RNA (460 nucleotides) under uncultured bacterium. Its description in RNAcentral is "partial 16S ribosomal RNA". It matches the Rfam family "Bacterial small subunit ribosomal RNA", at positions 338 to 795 of the family's 1533-position model. The record is from RNAcentral.
CCUACGGGUGGCAGCAGUGAGGAAUAUUGGUCAAUGGACGAGAGUCUGAACCAGCCAAGUAGCGUGAAGGAUGACUGCCCUACGGGUUGUAAACUUCUUUUAUAUGGGAAUAAAAUGUUUCACGUGUGGGAUUUUGUAUGUACCAUAUGAAUAAGGAUCGGCUAACUCCGUGCCAGCAGCCGCGGUAAUACGGAGGAUCCGAGCGUUAUCCGGAUUUAUUGGGUUUAAAGGGAGCGUAGGUGGAAUGUUAAGUCAGUUGUGAAAGUUUGCGGCUCAACCGGAAAAUUGCAGUUGAAACUGGCAGUCUUGAGUACAGUAGAGGUGGGCGGAAUUCGGGGUGUAGCGGUGAAAUGCUUAGAUAUCACGAAGAACUCCGAUUGCGAAGGCAGUUCACUGGACUGCAACUGACACUGAGGCUCGAAAGUGUGGGUAUCAAACAGGAUUAGAUACCCGUGUAGUC